AGAGUUUGAUCCUGGCUCAGGACGAACGCUGGCGGCGUGCUUAACACAUGCAAGUCGAACGGUAAGGCCCUUCGGGGUACACGAGUGGCGAACGGGUGAGUAACACGUGGGUAAUCUGCCCUGCACAUCGGGAUAAGCCUGGGAAACUGGGUCUAAUACCGAAUAGGACCACAGGACACAUGUCCUGUGGUGGAAAGCUUUUGCGGUGUGGGAUGGGCCCGCGGCCUAUCAGCUUGUUGGUGGGGUGAUGGCCUACCAAGGCGACGACGGGUAGCCGGCCUGAGAGGGUGUCCGGCCACACUGGGACUGAGAUACGGCCCAGACUCCUACGGGAGGCAGCAGUGGGGAAUAUUGCACAAUGGGCGAAAGCCUGAUGCAGCGACGCCGCGUGGGGGAUGACGGCCUUCGGGUUGUAAACCUCUUCCACCAUCGACGAAGGUCCGGGUUUUCUCGGGCUGACGGUAGGUGGAGAAGAAGCACCGGCCAACUACGUGCCAGCAGCCGCGGUAAUACGUAGGGUGCGAGCGUUGUCCGGAAUUACUGGGCGUAAAGAGCUCGUAGGUGGUUUGUCGCGUUGUUCGUGAAAUCUCACGGCUUAACUGUGAGCGUGCGGGCGAUACGGGCAGACUUGAGUACUGCAGGGGAGACUGGAAUUCCUGGUGUAGCGGUGGAAUGCGCAGAUAUCAGGAGGAACACCGGUGGCGAAGGCGGGUCUCUGGGCAGUAACUGACGCUGAGGAGCGAAAGCGUGGGGAGCGAACAGGAUUAGAUACCCUGGUAGUCC
This 783-nucleotide ribosomal RNA is filed under the name uncultured bacterium. Its description in RNAcentral is "bacterial SSU rRNA". It matches the Rfam family "Bacterial small subunit ribosomal RNA", at positions 8 to 796 of the family's 1533-position model. The record is from RNAcentral.